UCCAGACUCCUACGGGAGGCAGCAGUGAGGAAUAUUGGUCAAUGGCCGGGAGGCUGAACCAGCCAAGUCGCGUGAGGGAAGACGGCCCUACGGGUUGUAAACCUCUUUUGUCAGGGAGCAAGGUGCAGGUCGGGACCUGCUGUGAGAGUACCUGAAGAAAAAGCAUCGGCUAACUCCGUGCCAGCAGCCGCGGUAAUACGGAGGAUGCGAGCGUUAUCCGGAUUUAUUGGGUUUAAACGGUGCGUAGGCGGAAUAUCAAGUCAGCGGUAAAAAUUCGGGGCUCAACCCCGUCGUGCCGUUGAAACUGAUGUUCUUGAGUGGGCGAGAAGUAUGCGGAAUUCGUCGUGUAGCGGUGAAAUGCUUAGAUAUGACGAAGAACCCCGAUUGCGAAGGCAGCUUGCUGCAGCGGAACUGACGCUGAUGCUCGAAAGCGCGGGUAUCGAACAGGAUUAGAUACCCUAGUA
RNAcentral lists this ribosomal RNA (464 nucleotides) under uncultured bacterium. RNAcentral's name for it is "bacterial SSU rRNA". It matches the Rfam family "Bacterial small subunit ribosomal RNA", at positions 330 to 792 of the family's 1533-position model. The record is from RNAcentral.